Athalia rosae (coleseed sawfly) is the source of this 4894-nucleotide long non-coding RNA. RefSeq lists it as uncharacterized. NCBI's taxonomy places the organism in Eukaryota, Metazoa, Arthropoda, Insecta, Hymenoptera, Athaliidae. The record is from RefSeq and is a predicted model, not a curated record. The transcript is spliced from 4 exons.
UCGAAUCAGAGUGCACUAUUUCUUGUUUCGGAGAAUCGAGUUCCUAAUCUUUUAACGGUUUUUCACGAAAUUUUCAUUUCUCGUAAAGUUGCUGCGUAAUAGACGCUUGGUAAUUUUGAUUCGAUUAUAAUUGCUCGGUAUUCGUAAUACCGGGCUGUGAUUUUAUGGCGAAGACGACCUUGUCGCCGUGAGAGCCCAGAGCCUGUUGCACUUCGAUGGCAUACUAUACGUAUCGGUGCAACUAAUUUAACUGGCACGUGCAAUACUGCUGAGAACGAUUCCGUAGCUACUCAAACCGGAUUUCUGUUCACUACAUUCGAGCAGAAUUGAUAAAAGUUUUUACUACCUACAAUAAAGUCUCCUCGUCCGGCUGGUCACCAACCACACGUAUAAAGUGAAGAAUUUCGAGCACUAUUUUUCGUGGGAGUAUCGAAGGAGCAUUGUAUCGACCUCUCAUCGUACUACAUCUUCUACAUUCAACCUACUACACAGCUAUAGUCAUCAGGGAGGCAGAGACAUCCGGGUAAAAUCCAAGACCCCUGAGCUUGGGAACCAGCUCGGGUCCGGUUUUGGUACCGGCAGCGGUGGGGUAAGUCCCAGCAGUCAGAUUUCCUCGAUUUCUUUGCCAGCUCACACGAUGGUGAACGCUGGCAUCGGGAUCGUUGUAUUUUAUAGAAUAAGUAUGUUCCCCCAAUUCGCGUGGCGUGGCGGUACUUUUAGAUUUUAAAAUCAUUUUAUUAGCUCAGGUAAUCGUAGGUUCGGUUGUCGUUGAGCAUAGCGCACUUGCAGUUUGUAGAGUCACAGAUAUAGAAUUUUUUUGGAAAAUUAUUCAGUUAGUUGAUCUAUUGGUUAGUCAGUUGACAAAUAGUUCAUACACUAUGAACUAUUCAAAUAAAUCAUCAUCCACCAACCUUAUGUAAGCAAGAGUGCGCGGCUCAUAGGCAACGGUAAAGACCAUCGUUUGAUUGACCAACGCGUUUUCUUGCAUUUUAUAAUAAUUUUUAGUGAUUGAUCUCGUUUUCGUCGAUCACUAACUAGUAAAAAAAAUUAGGCCGUUCGAAUGGUGGUCCUUUACCAUAGUUUCACUUUCUCGACGAGAAUCAGGUAUGAUCAGCAGCUCCGAGCGAUUAGAAAAUACGUAAUUGAUUUUUUGGAGAUAAAAAAAUUUGUCGAUUCAGUUAUUCUCAAUUCUCAUUCAUUCAAAGUAAUUAACUCCAACUGAUUGAUAUGGAAACAUAUUUUUCAACAUCUUCUUUCCUCCCUGAUUCUCUUGUUAACUUUAAGUAUCCGAUUAAGCUUCAAGAAACUACCGCGGACAUUGGAUUUAGUAUAGAAAUAAUUAAGAUAUAGAUUAAGUGUGAAAAUAAUUAAGAUAUAAAUUAAGUGUGGAAAUAAAUAAGAUUUAAAUUAAGUUUGAAAAUAAUUAAGGUAUUUAUAAUAAGGUAUAAGAAUAUUCUUGGGCAACGUUUCAUCUUCUGAAGUGGAAUCCUGAUCGAAGAAAAAUAUUAUUUCACUACCUAUAUUAUUUUUUGUUAGCAUUAAGAAAAAAAAAAAAAGAAUUAGUCAUAAGAAACCUUACCCCAAACACACACAUUUUUAAGCCCUUAAUUAAUAUGAAUUAAAUUCAUUCUUUUGCUUAUACCAUUUUCCAAUACGAUUUCAAAUGAAAUUAUCGAAACAUUGUUGUAUUUCAAUUCAUGAGAAUCACGUUAUUCAAAUCAUUUCACGAUUCUGGAAGUUUAAUGAAUUUCGGCCGAUAAAACCACACACAUUUAAAAAUUUAUAAACUACGGCUUUGGCCGGGGCAAUGGAAGCCUAUAUUAUGCACACAAAACACAUAUAUUUAUAAGUAAUAUAAAAAAUAACAAUAAAUAAUUAGGAAUUAAGUUAUUAUUAGUUUCAAUUGUUAAGUCUGCGCUUAUUACCUAUAAAGUAAGUAAAUUUAGAUUAACGAGAUCUAGGAUGUCUAAUCAUGCAUAAAUUUUUCUUCCCUCACACAAAUCUAUCAGCCCUUUACUUUCUUUGCUCACUGUCAGUAUACAAAUAGAUAUGAGAUUGAUUAAAUUCAUUGUUCAAAGAUUCUAAUGACAUUCUAUCAAAGUACUACAAAAUUUGAAUGAACUAAAAUCAAGUUACUAAAAUCAUUCAAAGAUUCUCAAUGUUGAUUAUAAAUUUCGGUUCAGAAAAACACACACCUUUUCAAAAUUUACUAAAUUCUUUGGCUUUGGCCAGGGCAUGGGCAGCCCGCACUAUUUUUUCCACACAACAGGUAUGGUGAGUUUUUGAACGAGAGACCACGGCAAUGAAUGUGAUAUGUGAGUGAGAUUGGUUUGAAUGAGAUGUAUAAACACAUGGGAAUUUUUUUCCCUUACACACACAGCCCUUAAGCUUUUCUUGUUAAAAAUAUACAAAUUUGAAUUAUUUCGGCCUAAAAAACACACACCUCUUCAAAAUUACGGCUUCGGCCGAGGCAUGGGCAGCCUGAACACAAUUACACUUUGAAAAGACUUUUUUUUUAAAUUUUUUUCAUAGAGUCAGUUGUCAAAAGUUUGACAAAGCGAAUGUGAAUGAAAUGGUUCGAAGCGCCGGCGCUGGUGUGAUUCGGGGAUUUCGUCAGUAAAAUCAUUUCUUGGAUAAAUAUAAGUGAAAGGCAGGUAUAGGUAAAUUCAUGCAUCGCGAAGGGGUUCUAUUUGGAAUGUAUGUGCAGUGUGAAUGCGAGUAUGCAACUCAUAGUUUUAACCGUUGGGCCGGGUGUGGGCUUAACAAAGUGGGUAGGCAAGAAAUCGGAAGUGCAACUUUUCUUUCCACAGCAAUUCCAAGUGAUCAAUUAACUAGAGUUUAUUGAAUUGCGUUGGCUAAUUUUUUGCAAUAUUUUGCUUGAUAUUUUUAUAAUAAUUCUUUUCGUGUGGUCUUUUAGAUCUCUUUGCUGAGAUCUACUAGAUGCUUUUACUUCCAAUGGUUCACAAACCCAACCAAACAAAUUCAAUUAGAUUAAGUUUUUUUCUUCCCUGUAAUAUUUCUGGUCACUUGGAAUGGGCAAAAUGCGUCCACUUUGCUCUCCGUACCAGCCGUGGUGCAUGGAAGUGAGGUGGACGUUGAGCUCGAAGACGUCGCGUCGAAGAGGACCACCGACCGCCACGCCACAAAUUUUCAAACCUUCCCUAUUUCCACUCCCCAAUGUUAAUUGGAAUAGAAGGAUGCGAUUAAAAAUUGCAUUUCUUCGAUUUCCAUUAGUAUAAUUAUUCCAAGUCUGACGCUGCUCGCGCGGGUACAUAGCGCGCGGACGAGGAAUCGCAUGUUAUUUGUUUAUAUAUGUUAUUUCUUGUAUGCCCGAUUGGGCCAUUCUUAAAACAAUAACUAGCGUGACUUGCCAUCUUGCAAGGCGCUUUGAAAACUUUGAGAGAUUUUUUUUCAGGAAUUUGAAGUAAAAUAAAAACCCAAGUUUCGUCGCUGCUGCUCGUACGCACGCGGACUUGGCGCUUAAAAAAUGCAUUGCAACGCUUUAUGCGUUAUAAACCCAAAAACCAAAAAAUUGUAAGGAAUCAAGUACUAUUGCACCUUUUUGUGCGUGCCCAAGCUCAGCUGGAAUCAGGUAGCAACGGGCGCGCGGUAUGUUGUGGGGCGUGACCUCUGCUCAGCUUCGAAGGUGAGGUCUCACAACAAAACGCUAGCUGCUGGCUACCUGACUCCAGUUUGGCUCCCUUGAAGACCGAGAAAUUCGAAUAUUCCGACCCAUGCAUGGGUUGCGACGAACCAAAGUGGAUCUACGACUAAAACCAAUCGAUGUCUUACAAUUAUUCUGCUCCGAACAGCGAAUAACUGAUGAUUACUUGAUCGAUUGCAUGAGUAGAUGAUUUUGGCUCUCAGAUUUGGGAUUCUGAGCUAAUUAUAUGUGAGAUUAAGCUCAAAAAACCGAGAAAAAAUUCGAUUUUCGACUUUUCUCGGACAAAGGGCGAGGCUUCUUGGGGACUUUUUAUGUUUGAAUUUUACCGCUGUUGGUCGCGUCUGCGCACUCACCGAUACAGCUAGCGCUAAGUGGUGGAAUUUUCAGGAACUACAAAAACUAGUGCUAUCUGAUGGACUUUUCGAGAACUGAUUUCAGCGCAAGUCCACAUAGGGUAAAUUACCUACGAACAAUUCCUCGUCAUCGGUCGGCACAUGAAUAUCAGUCGGUAAAAUCAGCAUAGGGUAUAUUACCUACGAACAAUUGAUCGUCAUCGGUCGGUGAUCCAGAACCGAUGGGACGUCAUCCUGGAUCAAUAUCUUUCUGAUUUUUUGCGAUUUUUCCCAAUUUUCCCUGAUUUUUUCAAAUAUGUUUGAAUUUCACCGCUGCUGGUCACGUGGCUGCACUCGCCAAUACAGCUAGUGCCAAGUGGCGGACUUUUCGUGAACUACUAAAACGAGUUGCGGCCAGUGCCAUCUUUCGGAUUUUUCGUGAGAUUCAAAAGUGGCGGCCAUUUGGGAAUAGCGGGGGUCAGAAAAACCCGAUUCGGAGCGUAGGGGGUCGUUUUUAGGAGCGAAAAAGCGGUUUUUUAGGUCGAAAGAUUUGUUUUUGAGCGUGAGAGGUCAAAUACAACGCUGAGAAAGUCUUGUCGAAGCGUGAGGGGGUGGUUUUCUGACGUGGGCAGUAAUACCAGAGCGGUGUGGGUCGCAAAAUCCCGAUUCAGAGCGAAGAGCGUCGUUUUUAAAAGCGAACAAGCGGUUUUUCAGGUCGAAAAAUUCGUUUUUGAGCGAAAAAGGUCGAUUUGGAGGGUGAAAAAGUCGUUUUUUAAAGUAGAGAGGUGGUUUUCGAACGCGCGCAGUGAUUCUGAACAGGCAGGGGUCGGAAAAUUUUGAUACAAAGCAAGAGGAAGCGUUUUUCGAGCCGGAAAAGUCGUUUUUCGGGUCGAAAAAU